CAGAGUUCUCGCCCCCUGGGUAGAUCUCCCACCCUCUGUUAUCGCUACCGUGUUGCUUUGGCGGGCCGCCGGGCCCUGCUCGGCCGCCGGCUCCGGCUGGCGCGCGCCCGCCAGAGGCCUAGUAAAACUCUACGUGUCAGUGUCGUCUGAGUACCACAUUAAUAGUUA
RNAcentral lists this unclassified non-coding RNA (168 nucleotides) under uncultured Myxotrichaceae. Its description in RNAcentral is "sequence contains ITS1". The record is from RNAcentral. Lineage: Eukaryota; Fungi; Ascomycota; Leotiomycetes; Myxotrichaceae.